Long non-coding RNA from Falco peregrinus (peregrine falcon), 310 nucleotides. RefSeq lists it as uncharacterized. The transcript is spliced from 2 exons. Lineage: Eukaryota; Metazoa; Chordata; Aves; Falconiformes; Falconidae. The record is from RefSeq and is a predicted model, not a curated record.
CAGGGGGACACAAACACCCCCUUAACCAGCGUUUCAUUUCUCCCCUUGGGAAGCAGGUCUGUCCCCGCAGAGGCUCCAUCAUCCCCUUCCCGAGGCGUCUGCAGAGCAACCAGCAGAGUUAGCUGGAAGAAACGAUGGACUCCAAGUGGGGAGAGCCCUCUCUGGAGCAGAAGGUUUUGGACGUGCCCGCGAUGGAGAAAAAAAAGGUGUCUGAAGCCGAGUUCAGGAGACUGCAGAGAGAGUUUCAGAGAGCAGCGGAGAAGAGGAAAUCUUACGGUGCCAACGUGAGGCAGCAAAUGCAGGCUCAGGA